RNAcentral lists this unclassified non-coding RNA (27 nucleotides) under Mus musculus (house mouse). Its description in RNAcentral is "oocyte_clustered_small_RNA7197". The record is from RNAcentral. Lineage: Eukaryota; Metazoa; Chordata; Mammalia; Rodentia; Muridae.
UCAUUCCAGCACUUGGGGUCUCGCAAA